RNAcentral lists this ribosomal RNA (440 nucleotides) under uncultured bacterium. Its description in RNAcentral is "partial 16S ribosomal RNA". It matches the Rfam family "Bacterial small subunit ribosomal RNA", at positions 339 to 795 of the family's 1533-position model. The record is from RNAcentral.
CUACGGGGUGCUCCAGUAGGGAAUAUUGCGCAAUGGGGGAAACCCUGACGCAGCAACGCCGCGUGGAGGAUGACACUUUUCGGAGCGUAAACUCCUUUUGUUAGGGAAGAAUAAUGACGGUACCUAACGAAUAAGCACCGGCUAACUCCGUGCCAGCAGCCGCGGUAAUACGGAGGGUGCAAGCGUUACUCGGAAUCACUGGGCGUAAAGGACGCGUAGGCGGAUUAUCAAGUCUCUUGUGAAAUCUAAUGGCUUAACCAUUAAACUGCUUGGGAAACUGAUAAUCUAGAGUAAGGGAGAGGUAGAUGGAAUUCUUGGUGUAGGGGUAAAAUCCGUAGAGAUCAAGAAGAAUACCCAUUGCGAAGGCGAUCUCCUGGAACAUUACUGACGCUAAGGCGUGAAAGCGUGGGGAGCAAACAGGAUUAGAUACCCCUGUAGUC